RNAcentral lists this ribosomal RNA (256 nucleotides) under uncultured bacterium. RNAcentral describes it as "partial 16S ribosomal RNA". It matches the Rfam family "Bacterial small subunit ribosomal RNA", at positions 521 to 776 of the family's 1533-position model. The record is from RNAcentral.
UAAUACGGAGGGAGCUAGCGUUGUUCGGAAUUACUGGGCGUAAAGCGCACGUAGGCGGUUUCUUAAGUCAGAGGUGAAAGCCCGGGGCUCAACCCCGGAAUUGCCUUUGAAACUGGGGAACUUGAAUCUUGGAGAGGUCAGUGGAAUUCCGAGUGUAGAGGUGAAAUUCGUAGAUAUUCGGAAGAACACCAGUGGCGAAGGCGACUGACUGGACAAGUAUUGACGCUGAGGUGCGAAAGCGUGGGGAGCAAACAGG